CAUGAAGUGGCAUGGAGCAGCUGAGUUUUGAUCAAAUGUCCCCAACUCAGAGCUCUUGGCCACAUUCCUUUGCCCACUUUCUUCCUAAGUCACUCAUCUCUCCAUUUCCUUAUUUUUCCAAUGAUGAAGUUGGCCUUUUCCCUUAAACUCACAUUAGACUCUAACCUUGAAAAUUCUUGACCAGUUAAGUGCACAGACUGCAGCCAGAGACUCUGGGUUUGAAUCUCACCUCCACCACAACCAGGUGGAUAAUCUCAGGGGAGCAAGACUUGUUUGCUUGCUGUAUGGCAGAAGUCAGUUCAUCUGUGUGACAUCCUUACAACAGUGCUCGGCGUAAAGAAGGCACUCAGCAACUCAAGUUGAACUGUCAUUUGUAGUUAUCUUCACAACUCCAGUAGUUCCUAGUACUUGGAUGAUUGUAACAGUGGCUUCCCUGAAGAGAGAGAGCUCGUGUGGCCUGAGACCUGCUCACUAUCUUGAUUCAUUCUCAGAACAAACCUUUAGGUUCACUGGUGGUCUGAUUAGGCAAGCCCCAAGAUGAUGAUAUCCUUUUCUCAGAGUCAGCUGUGUUGCAUAGCACAGCCUGAUCACGGGAGGGAUAGCUCAUCAUUUCACAACCCUGGCAAUUAUUGGAAGGAGAAGAAUCUUGGAAACACCUGGGACUUUUGCUGCCAAAGAAUCACCUGCUUGACAGUUUUACAUGAGGCAAUUUUGUUAGAGUGUGUAGACUGGUUUUAGAGUAAGCUCUAGAACAGCCUGCUGAUCUUGAACCUGGUGUUUUUGUGUUGUUUUCAGGUGGCUCCAAUUUGAAUGUGUUGUGUUUCUGCCAGCUUCAACCACCAGUGAUAUAUACAUAACUGUCCUAUUGGGCAGCUUAUACCAUUUUAUUAUUAAAAAGAUUGAUAGACCACUCCUAGGGCAGAGGAGGUGAGCCAGUCCCAGCGCCCAGAAGGAGGCUCCCCUGCUGCCAUUCCACCACUCCUAGGGCAGAGGAGGUGAGCCGCAGGGGUGCCAGCAGCAAACCCCCUCUCCCCCGUGGAAAUGAGAAGACAUGUAAACAAGCCUCAAAAACAGACUUCCGGAUCACCUACAGCAACCGCAAAGGGAAACAAGAUGGAACAAUCUGAUGCUCAACCACAUGGACUCCCUGAACUGGCAACAAAAGAGGAUCUGGAAAAAAUGAAAUAAAUAAUUUCUCAGAUAACAGCAAAGAUUGUGCUCAUAGUGCAAGACAUGAUUAAUAAAUCUAGAGAGGACACAGAUUGAAAAACAGAGGAUCUGAGGAACAUGAUGGAAUCCCAACAUAGGAAACAAAUGGAAUCCAUAAAACAGAUGCAAACAGAUUUCCAGAUUAAAAACUCCAUUGAAAGUCUAUGCAGCAGAAUGAGUCAUUGUGAGGACGGAAUUUCAGAUAUAGAAGAUAAGAUCAUUACUGACUUAACACUUGUCAUUGUAUUUUUUCUCUUGUUGAUUCCUUUUUCCCUUUUGCUUAACUACUUGUAUUCUUUCCAUCUGAUUUUUUGGGCAUUGGUGGC
Molecule: long non-coding RNA, 1535 nt
Filed under: Heterocephalus glaber (naked mole-rat)
Lineage: Eukaryota; Metazoa; Chordata; Mammalia; Rodentia; Bathyergidae
Description: lncRNA (ENSHGLG00100029179.2)
Source: RNAcentral